GGGUACAUUUUGUUAGCAAACACCCUUUUAUCAUCUUUUGUAUUUGAUGAUUAGCAAUGUAAAGAAAAGAAUGUAAAGCUUAUUUUGAGGUAAAUGUGAUGUACGAAAGAAAUGAUGUAGUGAAUGCAAAGAAUCCUAAAUGUAAGAAAUGGAUGCAAUGUAUGUGAUCUAAAAUGAAUCAUACUAUUUGUGUAGAUGUUUAGUUUUCCUUUCUUUCACUAAUGGCUAUUGCUUACCUUCGUGUAAGCCGUUUGUGUAUGUUUCCGCUAGUGCUUUUCUCUAUUGAUGAAAAUGUACAUGUGAUGAGCCUUGGGCGGAUAGGGGAAACUCUGUCCGUUCGGCGUCUGUUUGACGUGCUCGGGUCGGGCCAAAUUGGUAUCGGUCCCGGGGCGUGACAUCUCCACUUCACCUACUUUCGACUUCCCGCUCUAAAGUGCCGAACUCGACUUCCGCCAUACUCAACCUUCUCUAAAAAAUUUAUUAAAUAGUAAAACCCAAACUCUAUUUCCUUUAUAAUGGGUUAGAAUUACCUUAUUUAUAAUAAGUUAGGAUUAUCUUUAAAUAAUAAUGAAAAAUUUAAUUAUUUAAUAGGUUAAAUUUUAUAGAGAUAAGU
Molecule: long non-coding RNA, 613 nt
Filed under: Ananas comosus (pineapple)
Lineage: Eukaryota; Viridiplantae; Streptophyta; Magnoliopsida; Poales; Bromeliaceae
Description: long non-coding RNA (ACOM_LNC031573)
Source: RNAcentral